Molecule: ribosomal RNA, 460 nt
Filed under: uncultured bacterium
Lineage: Bacteria
Description: partial 16S ribosomal RNA
Rfam family: Bacterial small subunit ribosomal RNA
Source: RNAcentral
CCUACGGGGGGCAGCAGUGAGGAAUAUUGGUCAAUGGACGAGAGUCUGAACCAGCCAAGUAGCGUGAAGGAUGACUGCCCUAUGGGUUGUAAACUUCUUUUAUAAAGGAAUAAAACGAGGCACGUGUGCCUUUUUGCAUGUACUUUAUGAAUAAGGAUCGGCUAACUACGUGCCAGCAGCCGCGGUAAUACGUAGGUGGCAAGCGUUGUCCGGAUUUACUGGGUGUAAAGGGCGUGUAGCCGGGCUGACAAGUCAGAUGUGAAAUCCGGGGGCUCAACCAUGAGAGUGCGGCGCGAACUGGAGACCUUGAGUGCGCGGAAGGCAGGCGGAAUUCGUGGUGUAGCGGUGAAAUGCUUAGAUAUCACGAAGAACCCCGAUUGCGAAGGCAGCCUGCCGCAGCGUUACUGACGCUGAAGCUCGAAAGCGCGGGUAUCGAACAGGAUUAGAUACCCUGGUAGUC